This 252-nucleotide ribosomal RNA is filed under the name uncultured Bacteroidales bacterium. RNAcentral describes it as "partial 16S ribosomal RNA". It matches the Rfam family "Bacterial small subunit ribosomal RNA", at positions 524 to 776 of the family's 1533-position model. Lineage: Bacteria; Pseudomonadati; Bacteroidota; Bacteroidia; Bacteroidales. The record is from RNAcentral.
UACGGAGGAUGCGAGCGUUAUCCGGAUUUAUUGGGUUUAAAGGGUGCGCAGGCGGAGGUGCAAGUCAGCGGUCAAAUUGCGGGGCUCAACCCCGUACUGCCGUUGAAACUGCAUCCCUUGAGUGCGCGAGAAGUAUGCGGAAUUCCUGGUGUAGCGGUGAAAUGCGUAGAUAUUAGGAGGAACACCAGUGGCGAAGGCGGCUUACUGGACUGUAACUGACGUUGAGGCUCGAAAGCGUGGGGAGCAAACAGG